UGAAGAGUGGUAUAAGCAACUCUGGGAAUAUACCAAACUCUGGGAUGUACACUUUAGAAGACUGGGUUUUAUGGCAUAUCAGUUAUAUCUUGAUGGACUCUUACCUUGUUUUCAAGUAGCAUAUGUAAGGCCUAAGCACAGUUGCCUGGGGUGUAUAGACUUGUGCCAUAUGGAACCAGUUUGGUUCAGGGCAGCCAGCUGUUUGCAACCAGGUGCCUUCGGUUCACCUUGUUAAGAUGAUUUGUUAAAGAUAGUUUUGAUUUCCAUUUUCUGCUAAGAGGGCUAGAUAAAUCUAAAGCUAUAAAGGGAUAUUUGCUUUUUAAGAUCAGAAUGGCCUGCCUUGCUGCUAAAGAGCUGGAUGGUGUGGAAGAAAAACACUUCUCUCAAGUUCCCUGUUCCCUGAGCACCUCGCCGCUGCAGACCAGGCUCCUGGAGGCAAUAAUCCGCCUCUGGCCCCUGGGACUGGUCCUGGCCAAUACGGCUAUGGGUGUAGGCAGCUUUCAGAGGAAAUUAGUGGUCUGGGCUUGCCUCCAGCUCCCCAGGGGCAGCCCCAGUAGCUACACUGUCCAGACAGCACAAGACCAGGCUGGUGUCACGUCCAUCCGAGCGCUGCCUCAGGGAUCGAUAAAGUUUCACUGCAGAAAGUCUCCACUGCGGUAUGCUGACAUCUGCCCUGAACCUUCGCCCUACAGCAUUACAGGCUUUAAUCAGAUUCUGCUGGAAAGACACAGGCUGAUCCACGUGACCUCUUCUGCCUUCACUGGGCUGGGGUGAUCCUUGGUGCCUUUGUUUCCACAAGGCCUUUUCCUGCCCCCUGCCUUGCCAAAGACAUUUAAUCAG
This 840-nucleotide small RNA is filed under the name Pan troglodytes (chimpanzee). RNAcentral's name for it is "retained intron". Lineage: Eukaryota; Metazoa; Chordata; Mammalia; Primates; Hominidae. The record is from RNAcentral.